This 247-nucleotide unclassified non-coding RNA is filed under the name Hevea brasiliensis (rubber tree). Lineage: Eukaryota; Viridiplantae; Streptophyta; Magnoliopsida; Malpighiales; Euphorbiaceae. The record is from RNAcentral.
GGGAACAAGACAUGGGUCUGAGAAAAAUCUAAAGCCAAAAAGUUGAGAAUACAUCAAGUCAAAAACAUCACAUGGAGAAUAACCACUAGCAAAAUAUCACUCAGAAGUCAGAACAUCAAAAACAUUAUACAACGAAAGCUUGGUUAUUAGUUAUUAACUAACACCUAACAGCAAUGCAAUUUCAAUAGCAUAACAUAUUCAUCAGGUAAGAAAAUAAAUCAAUAUUCAACUCAACUCAACUCAACUA